RNAcentral lists this ribosomal RNA (468 nucleotides) under uncultured bacterium. Its description in RNAcentral is "partial 16S ribosomal RNA". It matches the Rfam family "Bacterial small subunit ribosomal RNA", at positions 28 to 507 of the family's 1533-position model. The record is from RNAcentral.
GACGAACGCUGGCGGCGUGCUUAACACAUGCAAGUCGAACGGAAAGGCCCUGCUUUUGUGGGGUGCUCGAGUGGCGAACGGGUGAGUAACACGUGAGUAACCUGCCCUUGACUUUGGGAUAACUUCAGGAAACUGGGGCUAAUACCGGAUAGGAGCUCCUGCUGCAUGGUGGGGGUUGGAAAGUUUCGGCGGUUGGGGAUGGACUCGCGGCUUAUCAGCUUGUUGGUGGGGUAGUGGCUUACCAAGGCUUUGACGGGUAGCCGGCCUGGGAGGGUGACCGGCCACAUUGGGACUGAGAUACGGCCCAGACUCCUACGGGGGGCAGCAGGGGGGAAUAUUGCACAAUGGGCGGAAGCCUGAUGCAGCAACGCCGCGUGCGGGAUGACGGCCUUCGGGUUGUAAACCGCUUUCGCCUGUGACGAAGCGUGAGUGACGGUAAUGGGUAAAGAAGCACCGGCUAACUACGUG